GGGAUAACACUGGAAACAGGUGCUAAUACCGCAUAACCAUAGUUACCGCAUGGUAACUAUGUAAAAGGUGGCUAUGCUACCGCUUUUGGAUGGGCCCGCGGCGCAUUAGCUAGUUGGUGGGGUAAAGGCUUACCAAGGCAAUGAUGCGUAGCCGAACUGAGAGGUUGAUCGGCCACAUUGGGACUGAGACACGGCCCAAACUCCUACGGGAGGCAGCAGUAGGGAAUCUUCCACAAUGGGCGAAAGCCUGAUGGAGCAACGCCGCGUGGGUGAAGAAGGUCUUCGGAUCGUAAAACCCUGUUGUUAGAGAAGAAAGUGCGUGAGAGUAACUGUUCACGUUUCGACGGUAUCUAACCAGAAAGCCACGGCUAACUACGUGCCAGCAGCCGCGGUAAUACGUAGGUGGCAAGCGUUAUCCGGAUUUAUUGGGCGUAAAGGGAACGCAGGCGGUCUUUUAAGUCUGAUGUGAAAGCCUUCGGCUUAACCGGAGUAGUGCAUUGGAAACUGGGAGACUUGAGUGCAGAAGAGGAGAGUGGAACUCCAUGUGUAGCGGUGAAAUGCGUAGAUAUAUGGAAGAACACCAGUGGCGAAAGCGGCUCUCUGGUCUGUAACUGACGCUGAGGUUCGAAAGCGUGGGUAGCAAACAGGAUUAGAUACCCUGGUAGUCCACGCCGUAAAC
This 679-nucleotide ribosomal RNA is filed under the name uncultured bacterium. RNAcentral's name for it is "bacterial SSU rRNA". It matches the Rfam family "Bacterial small subunit ribosomal RNA", at positions 140 to 807 of the family's 1533-position model. The record is from RNAcentral.